UUGAACAUGUGCACAAGACACACAGCUAAGCUCAUAUAUUUCCUCUUUUUAGCGGUUAAAAUCGCCACAGCUAAAACAUGGAAAGUGCAAGCUUUAACUUUCUCUUUAAUAGUACACAAGAUGAAUUGGAUUGUGUUCAAUGACCAUCUUAAUAGUAUAAUCAAGGAUGCUCAGGCCCAGAUUAAGGAGAAAGAAUUAGCCAAGCCCCCGGACACCAACUGCCACCUUGAGCCGCAAAGGAUUGUGAAAUAGGCUUGAGACGAAUGUCAUCAAGACCUGAACGGAAACACUAAACCUGAGGGGACCAUAUAAAGAAGAAAAAGUAGACAUCCAUGGCAGAGCCGUAUAGCAAGUAAAUCCUGAGCACACAGUCUGCUUCCAGCUGGCUGACUAAGCUGAGGCUUUUCUGCCAAAAAGGGAGUGGUAUGCACAGCUGACAUCACAUGAAAGGCAGGACCGCCCAGCAAUGCUGACGCCCCAGUUACCAGGGGGCCCAGGAACCAAUCAGAGCAGCCGCAGACACAAGAUGGCCUUUGAACUCCUAGAAAGCAACUUCCUCCUCCUGCUUGUGGAGAGCACACAGUGCAUCAGUGUCAGCCCAGCGCUGCAGCACAAAGGAAAAGCCAUUUUGUGACCGAAAUA
Molecule: long non-coding RNA, 642 nt
Organism: Hyla sarda
Lineage: Eukaryota; Metazoa; Chordata; Amphibia; Anura; Hylidae
Exons: 3
Source: RefSeq, a predicted model, not a curated record